This is a non-coding RNA of Macaca mulatta (Rhesus monkey), 472 nucleotides long. The record is from RefSeq and is a predicted model, not a curated record. NCBI's taxonomy places the organism in Eukaryota, Metazoa, Chordata, Mammalia, Primates, Cercopithecidae.
UCUAAGGACCUAUACCCGAGACCCUGGGUUACUAGAGCUGGUUUUUGAGCAGCAAAGAGAUCCUGAGGUUCCUGCGAUGGCACACCCCUCAGGGAGGGCUUCAUCCAUGACUGAGUUGUGUGGGAUUAUGCAAGUCCAGAUCUCUUGCUCUGAAUUGUGGAGGCCAUCUGUUGAGAUGAGAACCUGUGAAGAUGGAAGGAACCUAGAUGUUUGAGUCAUGGGGUGGAGAAGAGACCAUGUAAACCUACAUUGAAAUUUGUGUGAUAAACUCCCUCCCCCUCAGCCAGCUUAGAAGUCGGUGGAAGAGGAAGCUGGAUGGAACAACAUGAGCCCUGGUCAGGGCAGACCUAAGCCAGGAGAUGAAGUGCCAGAUUCAGAGAAAAGCUCAGUGGGAUCCCAGAUGGACCAGAAUUCCUGGCUACCAUAACAAAAUACCACAAACUACAUGGCUUCAACAACAGAAAUUUAUCCU